Long non-coding RNA from Cuculus canorus (common cuckoo), 4010 nucleotides. RefSeq lists it as uncharacterized. NCBI's taxonomy places the organism in Eukaryota, Metazoa, Chordata, Aves, Cuculiformes, Cuculidae. The transcript has 8 exons. The record is from RefSeq and is a predicted model, not a curated record.
CGCCGACCUCAAUAGCUUAGAAGAGUCCUUUCAAAAGACAUGACAUUCAAAGUACUGUAUAUGUGCAAUAGACCAGUAAUUCUUGUGUUCUCAGCUUCCCAGGAGUCUGAUUUCCACAGCCAAAUAAAUUGCCUGACAGCUGAAGAGGUAACAAGCAUGCUUUAGGACCAAUAGUAAUUGCUACAGUGGAAGGAAAAAUAAACUUCUUCAGACAGUGCUGCUGCUGCACCUUUUGUGUUACAGAAAUUCUUUAUUCAGGCACAGUGUUGAGUUGCAUUGGUAGAUUCGAUGUGUCCAGCUUUUCUUUGUCUGCUUCAAGGGAAAAGAAAUAGCUGAAAGGGAAAACAAAAGGAGGAAAACAUAGAAAAUGCAAUGAGAAGAGUGGGCUGCUAACUUCCAAGCUGUAUUCGGAAAAAGGAAGCAGGAGAGACAGCAAAAUAAGAAGAUAGAGGCAGUAAGCUGAGCAUAAUCAAAAAAAAAAACAACCCACCGAGCCCCGUGCAGAAUCUGCCUCUCUGAGCAACACAACAUUCUGUUAUUCAGUCAGCUUGUGACAGAUUCACAUUUGUAUGAAAAAACAUUACAUUGCUUUAAAAAGAGGCUACAUAUAAAUAAUUUCUAGAUCCGUAAUAUGAAUAUCUGAGACAAAGGCAGCCAUCACAGUCUGUUGGUUUCUUGUCACUUUUAUUUUCCUGCAUGUCAAUAAAGGCACAGAAGUGAGACUGACAGGCCCGGAAUUACCAGAGUGCUCCUUCUUAUCCUUCCUGAGAAAUGGGACAACAUUUGCCAGCUUCCAAUGCACUGGGAAUUCUCUAGUCUCCCAAGACCAUUGAAAAAUAAAGAAGAGGUCCUGCGACAACAUCCCGUUGUGUCUCUAAUCUCCCUAGGCUGAGAAUACUUGACCAGCUUUUUAUCGAUCCAGAAGCUCUCCCUUUGGGUGCACUCUAGGUAUUCACUGAACUACCUGUCCCAGGCCGCUUACCUGACUGCAUGAGGGAGAAGGUCUGCUAAUCCAGUUGGCGUCAGGCAAGGAAGGAGAACUUGGAACAGGAUGUCUUUCAGUGUAAAUACACAUUGUUCUUAUACUUCGUAGAGUAAAUGUCUGCAAGAGCCAGUGGAUCCUCCAGAUAACUCCCAGUGGCUAUCAUUAGCCCUAAUGGAAUGCAGCUGAGCGCCAGCAUAGCUACGUUGGUCUUCACUGAGCAGGUCUUGAAUGCAAAUCUUUUUGCAGUAAGACUAACUCAGAGUUACUAUUGAGAGAUAUGGACUUUGUGAUUGCCAGGAGGUGAUUACUACAGUGAGUAAAAAGCUUGUUUAUUUGUUUUGAUUGUUUGGUUCUCAUAGAUGGAAUAAUGAUAAUCAUCAUCUGUUGAUCUGGGGGCUUACUGAUUGUUAUCUGAAAUAAUUCAGCCAAAGUACAAUCAACAGCCUGGUUUAAUUACCACUACAAUUCAACAGACUCAGAGAUGGGUAUUUUUAAUCAAAUAUCCAUUUGCCAAAACUUUGUCUCUCCCAAUUUUCCAACAAAAAUGACCAUUCAUACUCAUGGAUGACACCUUACAAUUAUACUCAGUCAAGACUUAUGCCUUAAAUAAUCUAUGCAUACCAUAGAAUCAAAGAAUCAUUGAAUCAUAGAAUGAUUUGGAUUGGAAAUGACCUUAAAGAUUGUCUAAUUCCAAACCCCCUGACAUGGGCAGGGACAUCUCCCACUAGACCAGGCUGUCCAAGCCCACGUUCAACCUGACCUUGAACAACUCCAGGGAUGGGGCAGCCACAACUUCACUGGGUCACAUGUUCCAGUGCCUCAUCAUGCUCAUUGUGAAGAAAUUCCUCCUUAUGUAUAGUCUAAAUCUGCCCCUCUCCAGUUUAUACCCAUUGCCCCUACUCCCACCACUACAUGUCUUUGUAAACAGUACCUUCCCAGCUUUUUUGUACACCCCCUUCAGGUACUGGAAUGUCUCUGUAUGGUCUUCUUGGAGCCUUCUUUUUUCCAAGAUGAACAACCCUAACUCAGCCUGUCCUCAUAGCAGAGGUUCUCCAGCCCUCUGAUCAUCUCUGUGGCCUCCUCUGGACCUGCUCCAACAAUUCCAUCUCCUUCUUAUGUUGAGGAUUCCGGACCCCCAAAUUCUUCUCUUCAGGGCUGCCCUCAAUCACAUCAACCCCCAUCCUGUAUUGAAACUGCAGAUUGCCCCGACCCAAGCGUAGGACCUUGUACUUGGCCUUGUUGAAUGUCGUGAUGCUCACACUGGCCCACUUCUCUGGCUUGUCCAGGUCCCUCUGACUGACAUCCUGUCCUUCUGGUGUGGCAAGAAGAGCAUGAAGUAAUUUGAAAUUAAAUGAUCAACCAUUUCAAAAAAGAAUUAUUUUUUUUCUGAAAAAAAGAUUUGCAAACAAAAGUUCAGUAUGUGGAAGAGAGUUUCUGGCUGAGUACAGGAAAGUAGUGAUAAUGUGAUAAAAUAUGUUAAUGGAGAGCCUUGCAAAGAUGCAGUUGAAGAGCUAUCAUUACAAAGCUUCUGAACACAAAUAUGGUGCAAGUCUGAACACAAGAUAUUCACUGAUGCUUGUGAAAAGUCUGCCUGGAUAAGUCUGACAGUAUGAUGAGUUAGUGGAUGUCAGGUGGGCAGACCAGAAGAUGCGUUAUAAUCACAGUCAAAGCUGUUAUGGCCUCUGUCCAGUGUUCCAAGGAAAGGAAGGACUCGAAAGAGUGAGAGAUUCCUCUUUGAUGAUGUCACUCCUCCUGCUCUCUUUUGUUAUACCAACUGAUGUGCUCAGCAAAACAGCUCAUUAGUGAUGACAGCAGAGCCAACACCACCUUAGGGGUCAUCUUGUAACCAUAAAUCCAUGCUAACCUUUUGGAUCUGUGCUCUAAAUGCUGAGAGUUUUGCAGAGCAGCUCUCAUCCUUUCAUGAUAUGUCUUGUUGAAAUCAGCAGUACAUACAGGGCCAUGGCUUUCAACAUGUUUUGUAGGCAAACGAAACAGAGCAGCACAGUUUAGACCACUGCAGGUCUAAAUUGACAUAUCUCCUGAUUCCUAUUACCAAAUAAUGCACUGUUAUCAGUGGUGAUUUUAACAAUCUCCUAAACUGCAAUCUGUACUGAGAAGUAAAGACUUUUUAAUCCUUCAUAACUUCCAUGGCAUAAUGCCUCUCUUACAAUAGUAGGCUCUGGACCUGUCCAUCAACUUAAUGCCUGGAAUAAUAAUGCUUGAUGAAGUACCUUCUCAUCUCAAGAGCAGGCACUUAGCUACAUAAAUCUCUCAUGUAGAGAAAAGAAAUAGAUAUAUACCCAAAUGGGCUUUCUUUGUGAAAGGUCAACUUUUGAACGUAUUUCCUUAUCCCCCUGGAGCCUCUGCAACAGAUAACAUUUCAGAACUUGUCUUCUGCUUUCUACUCUAUUUAAUUAAAGUGUGCUGCUGACUUUGAUGAAAAUAUGUUUCCCUCAUGAUUAAAAAGCUCUUUUGAUUAAAUCAUUUUGCCUAGACAAGUUGCCUGUAAUAAUAAUAAAUUAGAAUGUUUUUGAAACUACUUUCUCAUGUGUUAAUAAAUUGUAUUUAAUUCUACAUGUUAAUUGACUGGUGCCCAGAACACCUCACCCACCAGUUCAGUGCAUUACUAUUACUGGUCAGCCUGGAACUCCUCUAAGGUGGAUUACAAUAUUGAUCUUACCCUGUGGAGAAAGAAAGUGGGAAAAUGCCAGUUCGAAUCAAUGCUGAGAGACUGUAGGUCUCUCAGCUAAUCUUGUAAUCUGAAAUGCAGGAAAGUGCAGUACAAAGAGAGCUGAACUAGUUUGAUGGAAGUCAUCUCAACUUUAGAAGCUCAAUAGUAGCAUAAAUAGAGCGUUAAUCCUGAAAGAAUAAAUCUUGCUGUAUGAUUUCUAACCGUCUCAGGUCCCAGGUAUAAUUUUCCAAUUUGCGUUGAUCUGAGAUGACAAUGAGCAGAACAAUCUUAGGUCUCUUUUAUUCAGCUGUGACUGAUGUGUUCAGAGAUAUAAAGAACAUCUUUGGUCUGCUU